This 760-nucleotide long non-coding RNA is filed under the name Helianthus annuus (common sunflower). The record is from RNAcentral. Lineage: Eukaryota; Viridiplantae; Streptophyta; Magnoliopsida; Asterales; Asteraceae.
CAUCCACCUAUGAAACUAAUACUCACACUACUCUACAGCCACCCCACAACCCCCGACAAACCACCACGAAACUAGAAGACCCGUUUGAACCUGGUUAGACCAAAAACAGCCUUCCCCUCUACUAUAGAUUCACUACUUUUUGUUGCCUAUCCAUUAGAAGCAUCGAAACCCACCAUCACCGUCACCCUCAUUAUUCCGAAGAAGCUGAAAACGGACGCAGAACCAUGAUCACGUCAACCGAAUCCAUUCUUUCAUCACCAUCCGACCAUUUCUAAACCAUCGCAGUUGACGAUAUUUCUCCGGAAACUCUUCAAUUAAUCCGAUCUGCUAUUUAUCUCAAAUUAAGGGAUUAUGACAUAAUUCACUAUUUUGGAUUUGUGGUCAUCGCUUUGGAAAGUUUAAGAUGCCUCCUCGUCGUCAGCCCCGUAGGACUCCUUGCCUAACCAUGUACGUUGAUAGACGAAGUGAUGAAGAAAUCAAGUUAGGGUGGACUAGAAACUCACCUAGAAAAUAAACUAUGUUUGAAAUUUGAUUUAUGUUUUGACUUAAUCAAGAUUGUCACAAAUAGUGUUAUGUUGUUUUGAGCAAUUUAGUCGUCUCAUCCCGAUGUUUCCGCCAUCGGUUGGGGUGUGACACCUAUCCAUUAGAAGCAUCGAAACCCACCAUCACCGUCACCCUCAUUAUUCCGAAGAAACUGAAAACGGACGCAGAACCAUGAUCACGUCAACCGAAUCCAUUCUUUCAUCACCAUCCGACCAUU